AGGCCCGCCCUGGGCUGCACGCCGGCGAGCCCUCCGCUCUGCACCUGCCGGCGCCCCCCUGGAUCUGGACCACACCCACCGAAGCUGAAGGGCUCGGUCCUCUCCUUCCUGGAACCCGAGGACUCUCGCGACCUCUCAGCUCAGAGCGAGCUGCUGCCUCCUGACACUAACCCACAGCACAGGCUGUGCAUCUAAAUACCGUCGGAAGCUGGUGCGUGCGGAAUUCCUCUCUUGUCCAGGCUUCAAUAAACAGUGGCUUCUCUCCUCCACCAGGAUGCCUGCCUGGCUUCUUCAUACGAAUAUGAGAAAAAACCCAACAUCCACAUUUCCCAGCAGCUGCUAGAGGGAUCCCAUUGCCAUAGCCUGCAACCCGGGCAUGUGCCCCGAUCGGGAAUCGAACCGUGACCUCCUGGUUCAUAGGUCGAUGCUCAACCACCAAGCCACGCCCACAGCCCCCGACAUCUACUGGAGUGUGUUCGCAGCCUGCAUGAUUUCUGCUUCUAGGGCACCUAGUCAGUGAGGCCUUUUCUUCA
Molecule: long non-coding RNA, 533 nt
Organism: Eptesicus fuscus (big brown bat)
Lineage: Eukaryota; Metazoa; Chordata; Mammalia; Chiroptera; Vespertilionidae
Exons: 3
Source: RefSeq, a predicted model, not a curated record